Molecule: long non-coding RNA, 3701 nt
Filed under: Olea europaea subsp. europaea
Lineage: Eukaryota; Viridiplantae; Streptophyta; Magnoliopsida; Lamiales; Oleaceae
Source: RNAcentral
UCUCAGUCCUCAUGCUCGUGAGAUCUACCAGGUACGAUUUUUGGUAGCAUCACGGAGCAUCCUCUUUUUCCUCUGCUGGUAAUUGCAUAUUUGCAUGGCCAUAUAUACCUGCUUGCCCAGAUGCUGAUUCCAUCGAAUUGCAGUGGAGACCUAUUGAUAGUGGCAAAAAUCGGCUUUGCCACUUCAUUUUAAAUUGUUCUGUUAUCGUAGCUUGAGGGAAGGAGGAAUCUUAAACAGGCAAGAUCCAAAUCAUGAUAUUAAAGAAACACUCGAUAACAAGAUUGUUUACAUGCCCGAUGACAAAUACCAAUGGUGCCUGCUGUUGGCACUCUGUGAAUGUAUGUGUAAUUUGACUAUCACUACUAGUACUUCACAUAAUCUAAUCUGUACCAACUCUAGUAUCAUUUCUGUUUUUAUUGAAUAGAAUUGGAUUUAUUUUCAAAAUUAUUUCUCCUUGAUCAUUUGAUGUAAGAUCAGUAUGAUUAGUUUUAUGAUCUUUCUCCAAACUUAUAUGAGAACUGGAAACAAACAAAAUCCAUAAAUUUGAUCGUCAAAAGUCGAGCAACAGAUGUAUAUCUCAAUUUCGCAUGUUGGCUGGUGGUUGACCCCCUUCUCAAAAUCAUGGGAGCACCUUGUCAUGGACUUAGUUUUGUUUCCUCCAACAAACUAAACCGUGAGGCCUUAACUUUUCAUAAAUCCCGUCUUCACGAUAUAACAUUAAGUCAGCCUUUCAACACCCAUGAGAAUUUAACCUUUGAGGCUAAAAUUAUAUGGUAACUUCGAGUAGAGAAUGGAAAUAUAAGGAAAGGUACAAGAUAUUAGUUUUGGAAAAUCUCUUGUAUAAAUGAAAGGAAAAACCUUACAAUAUCUCAAGAUUUAUCUCACUUCAACCUUGGAAUUUACAAAAAAGCUAACAUAUCUAUUUAUGGACAGAGUAUUGGAAGAUAAGUUGAAAUCAAUGGCCAAUGUUUAAUUAGAUCCAAUGGCCAUAAUUGGUCACAAGUUACAAUCCACCUUUAUGCAAGUUGCAAGCCUCUAUUGUUUAAAGUGGUAGCCAAUUUGAUAUUUGUUUCCUUGCAAAGUUGCAAGUCACUACAACUCUCAUGGAAUUUGACAUGUCCCUUUCAAUGUAUUCAAAAUAAACUUUGCUUCCUCCUUCAAGCUUGUUGCAGUCAAGUUGAACAUUGCUUAUCCAUGCAAGUUGCACAAAUUGGCAUCCACGUGCGUCCAAAACAACCAGUUUCAAUCCAUGGUAUUUAUCCCCCUCAAAAUGUUGGUUUUUGACUUGGGAAAACCUUAUUUCCGUGCCUGCACAACCUGCCUGGGGCAGAGCAGUUAUGUCCUUCCGAAGUGCCAUGUCUGUGUUGAGUUUCGCGGCUGCUGCCUUUCUGCCACGAAUUGAGAGGACAUAAGUGCCUGCUCAAAACAUUAGUAUGUUGAUCUUCAUCUUAUAUUUAUUUGCUUCCACUCUUUAUUCUGCGUGUAACAUUUUUCUCUUUAAUCAUCUAUAGCCUAAUUUAAUGAAAGGAUAACUAACUUAGAACUUGCUCGUUUAAUGAUAAAAAUCAAAUGUGAAAAUAGAUAGUCUACUUCCUAAUGGUGGAUUUGAAUGGGGACCGGCAUUCCUGGAUUCUUCUGGGGAGGAAGUUUUACAGGUUACGGAACCAAGUCUUGCGGAAUCAACUGUACAGCAGUGGACCACAAUGGGAACUGCGAAAUACAUAAACUCUAAAACUUCUUUGGCUCAGAAGGAAAAGGUGCUAUGAGAUUGUUUCGGGAGUGGCUGGAAUACAAACAGCAAAACCACUUUCCAAGGGUUCUAAUUAUAACUUGGAAUUCAUGCUGGGAGACGCCAAUGACUCGUGAUCCGGGGAAUCAUAGUAGGGGUUGUAGCAGGAUCAUUGGCUCAGAAUUUUUCUCUGCAGAGCAGUGGGACACUGGGACUGGAGCACCCAAGUAAUAUUCAAUCACAUUCAAAGGAGAACCAAGUCCAAUCCCAAUCACCUUUCUUAGCUGCUAUAAGACUACACAGAGGGAAGAUUGCGCAUUUUGCGGUCCAGUCAUUCACUGUGUAGUUCUAAGUGGUUCUCAUGGGUACAAAUCCAAUCUGCAGCUUAUUUUUCUAUUUGCCUUACUUCAUCUAGCCCUUCUGCAAAUGAGCUAGCUACUAUGACAAUAUUCAGUUACACAAAUAUUUAGAACCAAGGUUUAAUAUGAAUUACAGAUUAUUUUCAUACAAAUUGAUUUUGUACUCGUUUUUCUUUUCAAUGCCAAUUAGCAUAUUUUGCACAAUCAAAUAACAAUUAGCGUAGGUUGAUAGAAAGAGAAGUAUAAAAAGCAAGCGAAGAUAAGAGUGUAAAAUGUCUCACUACACGAGACAAUUUUUUUUCUUAUUUUGGGGAGGGUGCUCAGAUUAAACAAAAACAUGGGCAUGGACUGCUUAAGGAACUAGAUAUUGAAUGUGGAUACCAAAUGUUACACAGGUAGAUCAUCUCUAAUAUCUGUUAUCUGAUAUAAACCGUAUAGGAUAUGCUAACAAAAUGUUCCGCAAUCAACAGACAUCAAUUAAACAGUAUGUGGUUACGAAGUAAUUAUCAUAAAAGCUUGGAUUCGUUCGUAGGAAAUCACAUCGCUAAACAGUCAAUUUAUAACUUGCGUAUGGUGUGAGUGUUGUAGGUGCAAAUAUCUUUUCACUGCUCUGCCCACAGAGUAGUCCUCCACUGUACAGUUCUAACAAAUCUCACUUAGGAUGCAGCGAGAAGCCAAAACCAAUGUCGCAUCUAUCUUGCAGCAAAUAUCUGCUUAAAAGAGCGCAAAGAAAGAGAACAAUAACUACUAACAGAUAAUGACUAAUACAAAGCAGCUGAAGUGAGUUGCAUUAUUAGGGAAAAAUUUAUUUUGGUUCACAUAAGGAUAAUACAAAGGUCUACUGCAGGUAAUAUUUGAAACGUAUUCAAGGGAUUUUUUUUUCCUAUUCUGAUUUCAAAUGAGAUGCUAAACAUUUUGAAAUGAGUCGGCUGGUGUCAAACGGUUAAGAAGAGAUUGGUACUCCUUGCUCCUGGAAUCUGGAUUAUUCAUCAAUCCCGCAGAACAGGACGAGGAUGUGAAAGUUGCCUUGUUUGAGCAUUCCUGAAUGUCAAUGAGCAAGGGAAUCUAUCUACUGUGAGUUAAUAUCAAAAGUUGAGAGCAUGACAACUUCACUAGCCUUAUGUACCACCCAACGGGGCUUGAAGAAGCCUCGUCAUAAGAGCGAGCUUGAUCCAAGAAAGCAUCCACAAUUAACAGAUCCACUAUGGAACUAAGAUGACCACAUUUGGAUCUUGAGCAACAAGAAGGGCUGCCCGAUCACAACUAAGUUCUGCUGCCCUGAGUUAGCAGAUAAUUUGUUCUUCUAAUCUCUCAGCAAUCCACAUAUGACAAGUAACGGUGGAGCUCAUUACAUAAGACCAUCAUAAUUCUAAGCACAAGAAAAAGAAGGGAAAUCAAAAUUUGAGCCAAGCCGAAAUAAGAUGCUUACCAGGCAGAGUAUAGGCCCGACAUGUCAUGAUCACAUUUCAGAUGACCCAACUCAUGAGCCAAAACAGCCUAAAUGUGAGCAACAAAAUAUUAGUAGCGUGCUUUUCUGACUCUGUUAGGUUACCACAGGGGCAAUUGCAGAGUUACCCGGAUGCAUUCAUGAGGAUUCGAGUCCCGUGAACGUC